Molecule: long non-coding RNA, 3697 nt
Organism: Cygnus olor (mute swan)
Lineage: Eukaryota; Metazoa; Chordata; Aves; Anseriformes; Anatidae
Exons: 4
Source: RefSeq, a predicted model, not a curated record
AAAAGGCAUUUCGGGGUGAAAAUGACAUUUCGAGGUGAAAACAAAGCAUUUUGGGGUGAAAACGACAUUUUGGGGUGAAAACAAGGCUUUUUGAGCUGAAAGUGACAUUUUGAGGUGAAAACAAGGCAUUUUGAGGUGAAAACAAGGCAUUUUGAGAUAAAAAGACAUUUUGAGGUGAAAACAAAUUUUCAGUGAAAAGAUGUUUUGUGGUAAAAACAAGAAGUUUUGGGGUGAAAACAAGGCAUUUUGAUGUGAAAAUGACGUUUUGUGGUGAAAACAAGGCGUUUUGAGCUGAAAGCGACAUUGUGAGGUGAAAACGACGUUUUGAGGUGAAAGCAAGACAUUUUGGGUUAAAAACAACGCAUUUUGUGGUGAAAACAAGAAAUUUUCGGUGAAAAGAUGUUUUGUGGUAAAAACAAGACAUUUUGGGGUGAAAACGAGAUAUUUUGAGGUGAAAACAAGACAUUUUGUGGUGAAAGCCAGGUGUUUUGAGGUGAAAACAAGACAUUUUGAGGUGAAAAAAAAGACAUUUUGUGUUGAAAAGAAGGUAUUUUGAGGUGAAAACAAGGCGUUUUGAGGUGUUAGAGUCCUCCUGGCUCCUGGGGUGCUUCUUAGCUGUGGUUCCUGUCGUGUGGCAGCACCGCAGGGGGAAUAUUCCCCAACCUCCUGACCCUGCAGGAGUUGGUAGCCACGUCCAGCACCCCUCGCCACCGUUGGCUUCCAGAGAGUCCCCUGCUCCGUCCCACAGCUGCCAGGCUGCCUCUCGGCCUAGUGUUUGGAGGGCUUAGAAGACCGCUCUGUGUAUGUUCAGGAGGCCUUAUGCUGCUCCCGAGAAGGAGAGCAGGGCAGUGCGGCUGGACAGGAGCUCUGCUGCCUUUACCCUGCUCCUGCAGUCCCUCCCUGCUCCCAGCGAGGCACUUCGCAGAAUUGCUUUUUUUCCACGAUAAUGAGCAAGAAUGGGGUCCUGGAGCCCUCUGGUGGAUGUCCUGCAGAAGACAGGUAGCUGAAAGCGGUCUGGUUCUGCUAAGGAAGCCUCUGGCAUGGCUUCAGGGGAAUGUUCAGGAACCAUUUUGAUGAAUUCCAAUUAAGAGUCUUCCUGACACCCGGGGACACAGAGGUCAAAGAAUGCCCCGUGCAGCACAGCAACAGACCACAGGGCACACAGCUCAAGUGAGCACAACGAGACUUGCACAGUACAGACAGCGUGUUCCUUAUCUACAGGAUGAGACGAGGCUGUUUUAAUAACUACCAUGAUGAAGAUGGAGAUGAACUUAUAUACAAGAGGAAUUGCCUUCACAUUACACACAUUAUCUUCCUACAAAGCAGCAAUUGUUUUUGCAAAUAACAUAAUAUUAAAUAAUUGGUAGAAUUUUUGCGUUUCCUGCAUAGUCCAGUCUAAUGGAAUCUAUAUGAAUAUUGAUGGUUUUCUUCUGCAUAAUAUCACCACAUAAAUCCCUGUGUCAGCUACUAGACUUUAGCUAUAAUACUGCUUUACAAUGCAUCCACCGACUGUAAAUCAAAACAACCAACACAAGAAACUCUUUGGCAAAUGUAAUUCAGUACAUUCGCAUGGGGGUCUACAGAUGGUGGUGGAAGAGGAUUAGACUGCCCAGUCCUUUGCAUAAUUCUGCUUUCCUUUUAAUUUUCCUGAUCAAACUACUUGUUGUACUUAUGGUCUUUCCAGACCAACCCAAUGCCUGGUGGAAGUCCCCUUUUAUCAGUGGAGUUACACCAACAAUGGAUUUGUCCCUCCGAGGGUCAAAUCAAGCCAGCCGUGAGUGAGCCAACCAAAUCCAGCUUUUGUAUCCUAUCUCGUGUCUCAAGUUUAGCGAAACUUUAUGAAAAUGAGCGUUUCUGAGCUGCUAGCUUCUCUCAAGGUGGCCCCUGGGCUGCAGGUUGCCAAGCGUGACGUGUCACAAUCUCCUUUUCUCGAGCCUCUUCAGAAGGUUCUAGUUGCCAGUACUAGGAUUUACUGCCUCUGCCCCUGAGUGAGACUGGGUGGUGCACAAGUGAAGCAAAGGCUGUACUGAGAGACUAAAGGGGAGACUUUGCUAACAGGGUCCAGCAUCUGUCUGGUGUCUAUGGAGGAAAACAGGAGUGGUAAAGGUAAAUUGUUAGACAUUAUUCAGAAUUUGCUUCUCAUGUAGAAUAAAAUGAGAUAAUGGGCCAAAUUCUGGUCUCAGUGACAGUGAAACAACUCUGCUAUUUGCAGCAGGUUACUCAGAGGUAAGACGUGCAAAGUAACACUUUAAAUAGAUCAGGAGUAACCUCUUUGACUUUAUUCCAUACAGGAACAGAUUUUAGCUCUAUAUCUUCUAUGUAAACAACCCCCCACCCCCAAUACCCUUUUCAUUUGGGCAUCCCAUUAAGGAAGACACAGACCUAUAAUCAGCUAGAGCCAUGCAAGGGCUAAAAGUGUUAGGUGAAAGGGGCCUUUGGGAUCAACACAGCUGUUUACUGAUGAUGGAUUUCAUACAUACAAGUUAAACUUGGAGACAGAAUACUGAGUCCACAACCACAUCUCCUCAGCGGCUGGGAUUUUAUGGAUUUUAUGGAUUUUAUACAUAAUGUUGGCUGUACAGACUGUUCACUUUUAUGCCCUUCGGGGGUUUGAUUCUCAAUCCUGUCUUUGUCCAUGGACAGUAGCCCACUAGUUUUAUCUGAAACCUCUCUAAAACAACAAGGAUCUGCUUUGGCAGACUUGAUGCCCUGGGGACAGGCUAUAGCUGCCUUCAUGUUUUCUUUGAGUAUUUUUUAGGAAGUGUCAGUGCAAGGUACAGUUUAUGAGUUUGCUGACAAUACAGGAGUAAUAAGCAUUUCUAUUGACAGCCUUUUGCAGAACAGUGUUUGCCAGUCACUUGGGAACCAUAACGAGCAGAGAAUCCCUAGAGAAUCAUCAGGUGAGCAUUUGGGAUAAGGGGUAAAUAUUAGGGUGCACAAUAUAGGGCUGAAUAUGAAAAGAUGAGGCUGCAUGUUGGGACUGGCUGGAAGGGUGUGGGCAUAUGGACUUGGAUGUAGGCCUAUAAAUUAUCAAGUGUAUGAGCAUAUGGACUGGAAAUUGACAAGGGCCCAUAUAGCAAGGCAGUUAGGAAAUUAGGUGUUGGGCACAGAUAAUGAGGCAGUUGUCACCAGGCUAUAGGGAUCUGGAGAAUGGGUGUUGGGCAUGUGUAGAACUGCGAAAGUCGGGAUGUGGGUGAGCUGAAGUAGUCAUGGGUACAGGGAUUAAGGUAAAAGGAGAGGAGCCUAAGGGCUAGGGAACCAAGCAAUAAUCCCAGCCAAUCCUGAAUUUGUCCAUCUCAGUCUCAGCUGUCCAGAGGGCAAUCAGAUGGGCCCACGUGAAGCCCCACACUUUCCUUUCCACCACAAAGCGCAGUUAGAGCGCAGCUGGGCUUGUUUUCUUUGUUUGCCAACCAGUGACAUGGAAAACGUUUGUUGACUCAGAGUGCUUUUUUGUCGACUGAUGUGUUUGGUAACUUUGUCGGAUGUGACUUGUCCACACUGCUCCCCAGAGACAGGAUUUGGGGAAGGGGGAGGAGGAGGAGGCGACAGGGGUGGAGCUGGCAUCCAAUCCUCUCCAAUACCACCAUCCCAUUGUAGUGCAAAACAGAAAGGAAACAAAACCCGAGAGUGAAAGAGGAGCGUCAAGCGUCAGAGGAACUGGUCUGCCAUUCAGGUGGUGGGGAGGGAUGGGACUUGG